GCAGCAGGAGGUGACGGAGGGGACGGAGGGGACGGAGGGCUCCGGGUUUCCGAAAAGCCACCGCGGGGCUGCAUCCCGCCCGGAGCGGGAACCCCGCCAGCAGCAAAACCUCCCCCGGUUUCUACCAGUAGAGACAACACGCUGCUCUUUUUUUAGCACUCUACACAAAAAAAAAAGAAAAAAAAAAAAAAAAAGUGUCUACGCUGCAGGAUGGAGGCUGAA
This is a long non-coding RNA of Tyto alba (common barn owl), 222 nucleotides long. RefSeq lists it as uncharacterized. NCBI's taxonomy places the organism in Eukaryota, Metazoa, Chordata, Aves, Strigiformes, Tytonidae. The record is from RefSeq and is a predicted model, not a curated record. The transcript has 3 exons.